AUGCCUAAAGUAAAGACAAGCCGAGUUAAAUACCCAGAAGGCUGGGAGUUAAUUGAGCCUACACUUCGCGAACUUCAAGCCAAGAUGAGGGAAGCUGAGAAUGAUCCACAUGACGGCAAAAGAAAGUAUCAAGGAUACGCUGACCGCAAUCUAAUUGCAAAAUGGAAGAAGCCAGGUUAUGAACGCCUAUGUUGCUUGAGGUGCAUGCAGCCGCGCGAUCACAAUUAUGCCACGACUUGUGUUUGCAGAGUGCCCAAGCAUCUUAGGGAGGAGAAGGUUAUAGAGUGUGUCCACUGUGGUUGCAAGGGUUGUGCAAGUGGGGACUGA
Molecule: non-coding RNA, 327 nt
Organism: Vicia faba (fava bean)
Lineage: Eukaryota; Viridiplantae; Streptophyta; Magnoliopsida; Fabales; Fabaceae
Source: the annotation of a GenBank genome assembly